RNAcentral lists this ribosomal RNA (253 nucleotides) under uncultured bacterium. Its description in RNAcentral is "partial 16S ribosomal RNA". It matches the Rfam family "Bacterial small subunit ribosomal RNA", at positions 524 to 776 of the family's 1533-position model. The record is from RNAcentral.
UACGAAGGAUGCAAGCGUUAUCCGGAUUCAUUGGGUUUAAAGGGUGCGUAGGUGGCCUUAUAAGUCAGUGGUGAAAUCUCGCAGCUUAACUGCGAAAUUGCCAUUGAUACUGUAGGGCUUGAGUACAGUUGCCGUUGGCGGAAUAUGACAUGUAGUGGUGAAAUACAUAGAGAUGUCAUAGAACACCGAUUGCGAAGGCAGCUAACGAAACUGUAACUGACACUGAGGCUCGAAAGUGCGGGGAUCAAACAGG